This 1431-nucleotide ribosomal RNA is filed under the name Escherichia coli. RNAcentral describes it as "partial 23S ribosomal RNA". It matches the Rfam family "Bacterial large subunit ribosomal RNA", at positions 1 to 1469 of the family's 2925-position model. The record is from RNAcentral. Lineage: Bacteria; Pseudomonadati; Pseudomonadota; Gammaproteobacteria; Enterobacterales; Enterobacteriaceae.
GGGUUGUGAGGUUAAGCGACUAAGCGUACACGGUGGAUGCCCUGGCAGUCAGAGGCGAUGAAGGACGUGCUAAUCUGCGAUAAGCGUCGGUGAGGUGAUAUGAACCGUUAUAACCGGCGAUUUCCGAAUGGGGAAACCCAGUGUGUUUCGACACACUAUCAUUAACUGAAUCCAUAGGUUAAUGAGGCGAACCGGGGGAACUGAAACAUCUAAGUACCCCGAGGAAAAGAAAUCAACCGAGAUUCCCCCAGUAGCGGCGAGCGAACGGGGAGGAGCCCAGAGCCUGAAUCAGUGUGUGUGUUAGUGGAAGCGUCUGGAAAGGCGUGCGAUACAGGGUGACAGCCCCGUACACAAAAAUGCACAUAUUGUGAGCUCGAUGAGUAGGGCGGGACACGUGGUAUCCUGUCUGAAUAUGGGGGGACCAUCCUCCAAGGCUAAAUACUCCUGACUGACCGAUAGUGAACCAGUACCGUGAGGGAAAGGCGAAAAGAACCCCGGCGAGGGGAGUGAAAAAGAACCUGAAACCGUGUACGUACAAGCAGUGGGAGCCUCUUAAUGGGGUGACUGCGUACCUUUUGUAUAAUGGGUCAGCGACUUAUAUUCUGUAGCAAGGUUAACCGAAUAGGGGAGCCGAAGGGAAACCGAGUCUUAACUGGGCGUUAAGUUGCAGGGUAUAGACCCGAAACCCGGUGAUCUAGCCAUGGGCAGGUUGAAGGUUGGGUAACACUAACUGGAGGACCGAACCGACUAAUGUUGAAAAAUUAGCGGAUGACUUGUGGCUGGGGGUGAAAGGCCAAUCAAACCGGGAGAUAGCUGGUUCUCCCCGAAAGCUAUUUAGGUAGCGCCUCGUGAAUUCAUCUCCGGGGGUAGAGCACUGUUUCGGCAAGGGGGUCAUCCCGACUUACCAACCCGAUGCAAACUGCGAAUACCGGAGAAUGUUAUCACGGGAGACACACGGCGGGUGCUAACGUCCGUCGUGAAGAGGGAAACAACCCAGACCGCCAGCUAAGGUCCCAAAGUCAUGGUUAAGUGGGAAACGAUGUGGGAAGGCCCAGACAGCCAGGAUGUUGGCUUAGAAGCAGCCAUCAUUUAAAGAAAGCGUAAUAGCUCACUGGUCGAGUCGGCCUGCGCGGAAGAUGUAACGGGGCUAAACCAUGCACCGAAGCUGCGGCAGCGACACUAUGUGUUGUUGGGUAGGGGAGCGUUCUGUAAGCCUGUGAAGGUGGCCUGUGAGGGUUGCUGGAGGUAUCAGAAGUGCGAAUGCUGACAUAAGUAACGAUAAAGCGGGUGAAAAGCCCGCUCGCCGGAAGACCAAGGGUUCCUGUCCAACGUUAAUCGGGGCAGGGUGAGUCGACCCCUAAGGCGAGGCCGAAAGGCGUAGUCGAUGGGAAACAGGUUAAUAUUCCUGUACUUGGUGUUACUGCGAAGGGG